RNAcentral lists this ribosomal RNA (407 nucleotides) under uncultured bacterium. RNAcentral's name for it is "partial 16S ribosomal RNA". It matches the Rfam family "Bacterial small subunit ribosomal RNA", at positions 30 to 526 of the family's 1533-position model. The record is from RNAcentral.
AUUGAACGCUGGCGGCAGGCCUAACACAUGCAAGUCGAGCGGAGCGGCGGACGGGAGAGUAAUGCCUAGGCAUCUGCCUGGUCGUGGGGGAUAACGUCCGGAAACGGGCGCUAAUACCGCAUACUAUCAGAUGAGCCUAGGUCGGAUUAGCUGGUUGGUGGGGUAAAGGCCUACCAAGGCGACGAUCCGGAACUGGUCUGAGAGGAUGAUCAGUCACACUGGGACUGAGACACGGUCCAGACUCCUACGGGAGGCAGCAGUGGGGAAUAUUGGACAAUGGGCGAAAGCCUGAUCCAGCCAUGCCGCGUGUGUGAAGAAGGUCUUCGGGUUGUAAAGCACUUUAGGCAGGGAGGCGUUACCAGCAGAAUAAGCACCGGCUAACUACGUGCCAGCAGCCGCGGUAAUAC